This 468-nucleotide ribosomal RNA is filed under the name uncultured bacterium. RNAcentral describes it as "partial 16S ribosomal RNA". It matches the Rfam family "Bacterial small subunit ribosomal RNA", at positions 28 to 507 of the family's 1533-position model. The record is from RNAcentral.
GACGAACGCUGGCGGCGUGCUUAACACAUGCAAGUCGAACGGAAAGGCCCUGCUUUUGUGGGGUGCUCGAGUGGCGAACGGGUGAGUAACACGUGAGUAACCUGCCCUUGACUUUGGGAUAACUUCAGGAAACUGGGGCUAAUACCGGAUAGGAGCUCCUGCUGCAUGGUGGGGGUUGGAAAGUUUCGGCGGUUGGGGCUGGAUUCGCGGCUUAUCAGCUUGUUGGUGGGGUAGUGGCUUACCAAGGCUUUGACGGGUGGCCGGCCUGAGAGGGUGAACGGCCACAUUGGGCCUGAGAUACGGACCAGACUCCUACGGGAGGCAGCAGUGGGGAAUAUUGCACAAUGGGCGGAAGCCUGAUGCAGCAACGCCGCGUGCGGGAUGACGGCCUUCGGGUUGUAAACCGCUUUCGCCUGUGACGAAGCGUGAGUGACGGUAAUGGGUAAAGAAGCACCGGCUAACUACGUG